This 253-nucleotide ribosomal RNA is filed under the name uncultured bacterium. RNAcentral describes it as "partial 16S ribosomal RNA". It matches the Rfam family "Bacterial small subunit ribosomal RNA", at positions 524 to 776 of the family's 1533-position model. The record is from RNAcentral.
UACGAAGGGGGCUAGCGUUGCUCGGAAUUACUGGGCGUAAAGGGAGCGUAGGCGGACAUUUAAGUCAGAGGUGAAAUCCCGGAGCUUAACUUCGGAACUGCCUUUGAUACUGGAUGUCUUGAGUGUGAGAGAGGUAUGUGGAACUCCGAGUGUAGAGGUGAAAUUCGUAGAUAUUCGGAAGAACACCAGAGGCGAAGGCGACAUACUGGCUCAUUACUGACGCUGAGGCUCGAAAGCGUGGGGAGCAAACAGG